Long non-coding RNA from Papaver somniferum (opium poppy), 609 nucleotides. RefSeq lists it as uncharacterized. Lineage: Eukaryota; Viridiplantae; Streptophyta; Magnoliopsida; Ranunculales; Papaveraceae. The record is from RefSeq and is a predicted model, not a curated record. The transcript has 2 exons.
CAUCAGUAAAACUUUCUUGGCCAUCUCUCUCUCUUGGUGCUUUCUUUGCAUCCCUACCAUUUCCAACAACCAGGGGUCUCCAACUGUUUAUCAUUCAGGCUUUUUAGUACUUCUUAGUUAAGAUGAUUGGACUAGAGAGAUUUGUGGUGACAAUAAAAUCAAAACUGAAAGGAUUGAAGUCAGGAUCAUCAUCAUCAUCAUCAAAACACAACUACAACCAUAAAGCUGCUGCUUCAGCUAAUUAUUAUGAUAAGAUAGAUAAGAGUGGAAGUAUGAGGAUUGAAAUCAGCAGUAGAAAAGCUCAGAAACUCAUUCAGAAAACUCUUAAAAUUGCUGAUUCACCCAUCAACAAAACUUACGCCUUUUGAAUUCCAUUAGCAUACAUGAAGGACUUGUAUUUUGGAAUUAUCAUGCAUCACAUCAUCAUCAUCAUCUUCAUGUAAUAAUAAUAAUAAUUUCUACCAGUGGGAUUUUCUAUAUUUACAUGGAUGGGGGUACUUGUUCUUGUUCUUGUUCUUUUUCACUUUUUAGGUAUGUUUGUAAUCACCACCACUCAGAUAUAUCGGGUUUCUAGUAGAUAAUACAAGGAUUUUUCCAUCUUUAGAUUCA